RNAcentral lists this ribosomal RNA (445 nucleotides) under Streptomyces zaomyceticus. RNAcentral describes it as "partial 16S ribosomal RNA". The record is from RNAcentral. Lineage: Bacteria; Bacillati; Actinomycetota; Actinomycetes; Kitasatosporales; Streptomycetaceae.
UCACUUUCGCUUCUUCCCUGCUGAAAGAGGUUUACAACCCGAAGGCCGUCAUCCCUCACGCGGCGUCGCUGCAUCAGGCUUUCGCCCAUUGUGCAAUAUUCCCCACUGCUGCCUCCCGUAGGAGUCUGGGCCGUGUCUCAGUCCCAGUGUGGCCGGUCGCCCUCUCAGGCCGGCUACCCGUCGUCGCCUUGGUAGGCCAUUACCCCACCAACAAGCUGAUAGGCCGCGGGCUCAUCCUUCACCGCCGGAGCUUUCAACCAGCUCCCAUGCGGAAGCCGGUGUUAUCCGGUAUUAGACCCCGUUUCCAGGGCUUGUCCCAGAGUGAAGGGCAGAUUGCCCACGUGUUACUCACCCGUUCGCCACUAAUCCACCCCGAAGGGCUUCAUCGUUCGACUUGCAUGUGUUAAGCACGCCGCCAGCGUUCGUCCUGAGCCAGGAUCAAACU